GACGAACGCUGGCGGCGCGCCUAACACAUGCAAGUCGAACGAGCGAGAGAGAGCUUACUUUCUCAAGCGAGUGGCGAACGGGUGAGUAACGCGUGAGGAACCUGCCUCAAAGAGGGGGACAACAGUUGGAAACGACUGCUAAUACCGCAUAAGCCCACAGGUCGGCAUCGACCAGAGGGAAAAGGAGCAAUCCGCUAAUAGAUGGGCUUGCGUCUGAUUAGCUAGUUGGUGGGGUAACGGCCUACCAAGGCGACGAUCAGUAGCCGGACUGAGAGGUUGAACGGCCACAUUGGGACUGAGAUACGGCCCAG
This 311-nucleotide ribosomal RNA is filed under the name uncultured bacterium. RNAcentral's name for it is "bacterial SSU rRNA". It matches the Rfam family "Bacterial small subunit ribosomal RNA", at positions 28 to 334 of the family's 1533-position model. The record is from RNAcentral.